CACCUCCAAUCGCACAUACAUAAUUAGGGACGAUUCAAGAGCCGCUGUGUGUUCAAAAACUUCGUGCGUGUACAAGAAUAAAUACUUUCUGAGGGUAUCAUUUCGCACCGUUGCAAUUUCCUGCAAGACGGGACGUUGUUGAACAAACCGGUUACUGAUGGGGCGAACACCUGAAGCAAUGUGAAAUCUGCAAAGAGCUGGGUCAUUUGAACAAAUGCUGACAUGAUCAAAUGCAUAGAAGGACACUGAUUGAUUGCACAUGAGGAGACAAUCUUUUGGGCGGAACUCUUCACUUUGUACUUCACCUGCCUGUGCAGUAGGAAGUUGCUAUCAGGAUGCGACAACAAAAUCUUUUGGUGAAUAAAACUAUCGAUGUAUCUUGGAAAUUUACUCCUUAUUUUGGGUCUACAGAUCCGAGCCUCCAGUGUCCAGGAAGAAACGCUGCUUCCAUGAUCUGACAUCUUUCUGUGCGAUUCCAGGUCAUUGUUAUCUUGUUUAUAGUCUUGGGUGGCUAUGCUUUCUUCCUUCAGUCCAAGCUCACUA
This 543-nucleotide long non-coding RNA is filed under the name Coccomyxa subellipsoidea. Its description in RNAcentral is "long non-coding RNA (CSUB_LNC000500)". The record is from RNAcentral. Lineage: Eukaryota; Viridiplantae; Chlorophyta; Trebouxiophyceae; Coccomyxaceae.